GGGGCAGUAGCUCAGCGGGAGAGCACCUGAUUUGCACUCAGGAGGCCACGGGUUCAAAUCCCGUCUGCUCCACCA
RNAcentral lists this transfer RNA (75 nucleotides) under Caldisericota bacterium. RNAcentral describes it as "Caldiserica bacterium tRNA-Ala". It matches the Rfam family "tRNA". Rfam says of the family: Transfer RNA (tRNA) molecules are approximately 80 nucleotides in length. Their secondary structure includes four short double-helical elements and three loops (D, anti-codon, and T loops). RNAcentral also lists the same sequence under 1 other name. The record is from RNAcentral. Lineage: Bacteria; Pseudomonadati; Caldisericota.